Molecule: ribosomal RNA, 512 nt
Filed under: uncultured bacterium
Lineage: Bacteria
Description: bacterial SSU rRNA
Rfam family: Bacterial small subunit ribosomal RNA
Source: RNAcentral
CAAACGACACAGGAAUACUUUUGAAAGGAGGUAGCUCUUAGGAGCCUGUGUCGAGGUGCUGCAUGGUUGUCGUCAGCUCGUGCCGUGAGGUGUCGGCUUAAGUGCCAUAACGAGCGCAACCCCCAUCGCCAGUUACCAGCAAGUCAAGUUGGGGACUCUGGCGAGACUGCCGGCGCAAGCUGUGAGGAAGGCGGGGAUGACGUCAAAUCAGCACGGCCCUUACGUCCGGGGCGACACACGUGUUACAAUGGCAGGUACAGAGAGAAGCAAUGCGGCGACGCAAAGCGGAACUUGAAAGCCUGUCUCAGUUCGGAUUGGAGUCUGCAACUCGACUCCAUGAAGCUGGAUUCGCUAGUAAUCGCGCAUCAGCCAUGGCGCGGUGAAUACGUUCCCGGGCCUUGUACACACCGCCCGUCAAGCCAUGGAAGCCGGGAGUGCCUGAAGUGUGCAACCGCAAGGAGCGCCCUAAGGUAAAACUGGUGACUGGGGCUAAGUCGUAACAAGGUAGCCGU